RNAcentral lists this unclassified non-coding RNA (506 nucleotides) under Hevea brasiliensis (rubber tree). The record is from RNAcentral. Lineage: Eukaryota; Viridiplantae; Streptophyta; Magnoliopsida; Malpighiales; Euphorbiaceae.
GUACCAGCUUUCUCUGCUUUUGUCUUUUGCUUCUUUUUCGUACUUUUGGAUUGUACGCUCGUCAACCUGAUUGCUAAGGAAAAGUAUCUGGCCUCCAAUUGUAGACUUACCAGCAUCAACAUGACCAAUGAACACAACAUUCAAGUGUCUUUUGCGGUCUAACUCCACAUCCCCUUCAUCUUCAUUUUCAGUUGAAGAAAUUUCCUUCUCCUUAGCAGAUAUGUUCUCCUUCACUUGUUCUUGAACGUGGAUAGCUUGGGCUUGCUGGGGAUGGUCCUCUUCUUCCAUCUUAUUGGACUUCACAAUUUCUUCUGUCCUUGCAUCUUCUUCCGGAUUAUCGGAUUUCACAACUUCCUCCAUCUUUGCAUCUGGAUUAGGAACCCCAUUAACAUCUGGUGGAUCAAGUUCUAAUGCACGAAUAUCCUCCUCGAUAUCCAUGGAACAGUGGCCGUAAGCUGCGAAGAAGUAAGUCUAGGGUUUCUCGUAACGCAGUGAGCAGGAAGAAA